CGAACAUGCCAACGAUGUAUUUUUCGAAGUGUCAGUUAUUCCAGUGUUCCCUUAUAGGACUCCAGUUUAGGACCUUCAAUUUACAGGAUAAAGCAACACAAAUCUGUAAAUAUGAUCAUAUCGAAGGCAACAUGACGUUAAGACUAGCCAGCUUACUAGCAUAACCCACAUGGUUGAUGUAUUUCCUUGAGGUGGAGCAGAAAGGCAACUGAAUGACUAUAUGAGUAUCCUUAUACAAAUGCCGACGAUGUAUUUGCAACUAAUGGCAGCUAUUCCCGUGUUCCCCUCUAGGACUCCAUUUUAGGACACUUUAGAAUCUUUCUAAAAUAACCCUCAUGGUUGAUAUAUGUCUUCGAGGUAGAGCAGAAGGGCAACUGGAAUGACUAUAUGAGUUCCUUCACGGACAUGCCAACGAUGUAUUUUUUGAAGUGUCAGGCAUUCCAGUGUUCGCUUCUAGGACUCCAUUUUAGGACCUUCACUUUACAGGAUAAAGCAACACGAAUCUGUAAAUAUAAUCACUCCCAACAGAAAAAAAGACUCGAGUUGCAACAAGGGACACCGAUUUUUCCAUAGCAAAAGCAUACAAGACAGGCCUUAUAUAAGGGUUCUUCUAUAGCAUUCCCAUGAAUCAAAUAGAUGAUUAAUACAAACCAGUGUAAUGAUUGAAAUUUCGAAAAACAAGAUAUAGAAGAAACAUUCAACUUUCCACAUGAGGCAAUAGUAAAUGGUCUAAAAGAAAAGUCUGAGGAAAUAUGUAUCCAGAUAUACAUGACUGACGCAAGUUAAUUUCUUUUUUUCCAGAAAGCCUGAUGCAUUUCGGGUCUACUUCCUUCGAAUUAAGUGAUUCUGUCAUUCUUAACACUAGAGUUUUUUUUUCACACACUAACUUAUAACUCAAACCCUUUU
This 906-nucleotide long non-coding RNA is filed under the name Linum usitatissimum (flax). RNAcentral describes it as "long non-coding RNA (LUSI_LNC005594)". Lineage: Eukaryota; Viridiplantae; Streptophyta; Magnoliopsida; Malpighiales; Linaceae. The record is from RNAcentral.